UACGGAGGGGGCUAGCGUUAUUCGGAAUUACUGGGCGUAAAGCGCACGUAGGCGGAUGGACAAGUCAGAGGUGAAAUCCCAGGGCUCAACCUUGGAACGGCCUUUGAAACUGUGCGUCUUGAGAUCGAGAGAGGUGAGUGGAAUUCCGAGUGUAGAGGUGAAAUUCGUAGAUAUUCGGAGGAACACCAGUGGCGAAGGCGGCUCACUGGCUCGAUACUGACGCUGAGGUGCGAAAGCGUGGGGAGCAAACAGG
RNAcentral lists this ribosomal RNA (253 nucleotides) under uncultured bacterium. Its description in RNAcentral is "partial 16S ribosomal RNA". It matches the Rfam family "Bacterial small subunit ribosomal RNA", at positions 524 to 776 of the family's 1533-position model. The record is from RNAcentral.